Molecule: ribosomal RNA, 464 nt
Filed under: uncultured bacterium
Lineage: Bacteria
Description: bacterial SSU rRNA
Rfam family: Bacterial small subunit ribosomal RNA
Source: RNAcentral
AGGAUUAACGCUGGCGGCGUGCCUAAUACAUGCAAGUCGAAUGGUAGCAAUACCAUGGCGAACGGGUGAGUAACACGUAGGUAACCUGUCUUUAAGCCGAGGAUAACCAUUGGAAACGAUGGAUAAUACUGGAUAGGACAUUUGAAGGCAUCUUUAGAUGUUUAAAGAUUUAUCACUUAGAGAGGGGCCUGCGGCGCAUUAGCUAGUUGGUGAGGCGAAGGCUUACCAAGGCGAUGAUGCGUAGCCGGACUGAGAGGUUGAACGGCCACAAUGGAACUGAGAACGGUCCAUACUCCUACGGGAGGCAGCAGUAGGGAAUUUUCGGCAAUGGGCGGAAGCCUGACCGAGCAACGCCGCGUGAACGAAGAAGUAUUUCGGUAUGUAAAGUUCUUUUAUUAGGGACGAAAAGACAGAUUGACGGUACCUAAUGAAUAAGCUCCGGCUAACUACGUGCCAGCCGCAGC